This 948-nucleotide ribosomal RNA is filed under the name Polycauliona candelaria. Its description in RNAcentral is "eukaryotic LSU rRNA". It matches the Rfam family "Eukaryotic large subunit ribosomal RNA", at positions 1 to 962 of the family's 3401-position model. Lineage: Eukaryota; Fungi; Ascomycota; Lecanoromycetes; Teloschistales; Teloschistaceae. The record is from RNAcentral.
GAUUGACCUCGGAUCAGGUAGGGAUACCCGCUGAACUUAAGCAUAUCAAUAAGCGGAGGAAAAGAAACCAACAGGGAUUGCCUCAGUAACGGCGAGUGAAGCGGCAACAGCUCAAAUUUGAAAUCUGGCCCCUCCGGGGUCCGAGUUGUAAUUUGUAGAGGGUGUUUCGGGCGAGGCGCCGGUCUAAGUCCCUUGGAACGGGGCGUCAGAGAGGGUGAGAAUCCCGUACGCGACCGGUGGCCGAGCCUAUGUGAAACCCCUUCGACGAGUCGAGUUGUUUGGGAAUGCAGCUCAAAACGGGUGGUAAAUUUCAUCUAAAGCUAAAUACCGGCCAGAGACCGAUAGCGCACAAGUAGAGUGAUCGAAAGAUGAAAAGCACUUUGGAAAGAGAGUCAAAAAGUACGUGAAAUUGUUGAAAGGGAAGCGCUUGCAACCAGACCUGCCCGCGGGUGAUCAGCCGUCCUUCUGGGCGGUGCACUCGCCCGCGAUCAGGCCAGCAUCGGUUCGGGCGGUCGGAUAAAGGCCUCGGGAACGUGGCUCCCCUCGGGGAGUGUUAUAGCCCUUGGUGCAAUGCGGCCCGCCCGGACCGAGGACCGCGCUUCGGCUAGGAUGCUGGCGUAAUGGUUGUAAGCGGCCCGUCUUGAAACACGGACCAAGGAGUCGACCAACUAUGCGAGUGUUUGGGUGUCAAACCCACACGCGCAAUGAAAGUGAACGGAGGUGGGAACCCCUCGCGGGGCGCACCAUCGACCGAUCCAGAUGUCUUCGGAUGGAUUUGAGUACGAGCAUAGCUGGUCGGACCCGAAAGAUGAUGAACUAUGCCUGAAUAGGGUGAAGCCAGAGGAAACUCUGGUGGAGGCUCGCAGCGGUUCUGACGUGCAAAUCGAUCGUCAAAUUUGGGCAUAGGGGCGAAAGACUAAUCGAAUCAUCUAGUAGCUGGUUCCAGCC